Molecule: long non-coding RNA, 886 nt
Organism: Rhagoletis pomonella (apple maggot)
Lineage: Eukaryota; Metazoa; Arthropoda; Insecta; Diptera; Tephritidae
Exons: 3
Source: RefSeq, a predicted model, not a curated record
GUUCGAUUUUGUAAAUUUUUCCAUAGCCUCCGAAAAGUUUCUUUGAAUACCCUCACAAGUCGUCACUAAUCGAUCCAUUUGUUUUUGUUUUCCAGAUCUGGCAGAUAUUGCUGCGCUAGAUAUUGAUGGGGGAAGUGUUGCCCCUCUUGCUCCUGAUGACAGUGGUGAUGAACACUACGGUGAUGGCGACGGCGUGGAAGCGGCGAGAUAUUUGUCGGGGAUGAUGACAUCGAAUCUGAAAAUGAGUAUUUUGAAUUUAUCUCUUCCACGUUAUUGAUGGAAACCACCAAUUAUUUGAUGCACCUCCUCAAAUAAAUGCCAAGAAAUUCGAUGGAUUCGUCUGAUGAGGAGCUGGCGCUUAUUUACCUUGCAGUAAACAAUAAAAAAAAAAAAAACGUGAAAAGAAGGAACUGGAUCCAUGAAAUUUAUUUCAAUCGGAAAGAACAUGGCGAAUUCUCUACUUUGAUGUCUCAGCUUCGCCAAGACAAUAUUCGUUUUUAUAAAUAUUUCCGAAUGACUAUUGAGUGCUUUGAUGAAGUACUGAGUAUUAUUAAAAAUGAGAUUCAAAAAGCAGACACACAAUUUCGAGAGUGCAUUGGACCCGAAGAACAACUUGCAUUGCCUUAAGAUAUUUCGCAACUGGCGAUUCAUUUAUCACAAUUGGUAAUAGCUUUCGUGUAGGAUUUAGAACAGUCAGCUUGAUUGUUAACGAAGUAUUUGAGGCGAUGUAAAAAAAAAUUGAAAGAUUUUAUUUGCCGGAACCAACAAUGGAAAUUUUGGGAAAAAUCAGCUCAAGGAUUUCAAGAUUUGUGGCAAUCUCCAAAUUGCAUAGGUAGCAUGGACGGUAAGCACGUGACUAUUAAGUGUCCCAAAAAAACUGGAUCGA